Pygoscelis adeliae (Adelie penguin) is the source of this 820-nucleotide long non-coding RNA. RefSeq lists it as uncharacterized. The transcript is spliced from 4 exons. Lineage: Eukaryota; Metazoa; Chordata; Aves; Sphenisciformes; Spheniscidae. The record is from RefSeq and is a predicted model, not a curated record.
CAGCACUGCAAGCGUGAAUACUAGCACUUCCAGUUCCAUGUUUAUCUUUGGACACAGAAGGAAAAAUUUCACUAGAAGACUCAGCAAUAUUGCGAGUUUAAGAGUAUUGUAGGUGCCUGGUGGAACAACUUGAGAAGCAAAGAUAUUGGCAAGGAUGGCAGUAAACCUCCAGCAGGAACUUGAAGUCAGUGAGAGCAGGCUGGCCACAAGAUGGCAGAAUUGCCUAUUGCACGUUCCCAAGCGGAACAGCUUGGCCUGGCUUUCCGAGCCACAGGGAGCGACUGCCGCUUCUGCCUUGCGUGGAAAUGACAUGGGGUAUGGAUAUUCAUUAUUAGAGGAAGAAGCAAACAAAACAGCCUUAAAAGUACUUAAGGCCUAAUCCUGCAACGAUGCAAGCACUUCCAUAAUAUUACUCAAAGAAGUAGUUCCACAGAAGUCAGCUACUCAUUAAAGCAAACUUGUUCAAUGCUAGAAGCUUUUGCCAGUCACUUAAACAUACCGUUCUGCGGUAUUUUUAUAUAAACAGAAACACCGUUUCCAAUUAAAAAAAAGCGUUCUACUAGUUUAGCUUUUUUUUUCCCUUUCAGAUAAUUUAUUAAAUUAUAUUGGCGACAGAUCUUUUCUCAUAUAAACUAUCUUUAGCAUUAGGAAAAUGGAUUGCUGGCAUAGCUAUGCUCCCAAAACAUUUAAUAACGCUGAGCAACCACUGGCAAGGUGCACUGCGUUCAAUUAAUAAAAAUCAUGCUGUGCUCAUUACAAAAAUGUCUGCAUAAUAAGACUGCAUAGGAAAAUGCCUUUUUCAUGCUAGGUUUUUAAUCUC